ACACGUAGGGGGCGAGCGUUACCCGGAAUCACUGGGCGUAAAGGGCGCGUAGGCGGCCGAUUAAGUCGGGGGUGAAAGCCUGUGGCUCAACCACAGAAUUGCCUUCGAUACUGGUUGGCUUGAGGCCGGAAGAGGACAGCGGAACUGCGAGUGUAGAGGUGAAAUUCGUAGAUAUUCGCAAGAACACCAGUGGCGAAGGCGGCUGUCUGGUCCGGUUCUGACGCUGAGGCGCGAAAGCGUGGGGAGCAAACAGGAUUAGAAACCCCGGUAGUCC
Molecule: ribosomal RNA, 274 nt
Filed under: uncultured bacterium
Lineage: Bacteria
Description: partial 16S ribosomal RNA
Rfam family: Bacterial small subunit ribosomal RNA
Source: RNAcentral